AGCGAACGCUGGCGGCAUGCUUAACACAUGCAAGUCGCACGGUCGGGUUUCGGCCCGGCAGUGGCGGACGGGUGAGUAACGCGUAGGUAUCUAUCCUUGGAUGGGGGACAACCGUGGGAAACUACGGCUAAUACCGCAUGACGACCGAGGUCCAAAGGCCGCGAGGCCGUCUGGGGAGAGCCUGCGUCCGAUUAGCUAGUUGGUGGGGUAACGCCUACCAAGGCGGUGAUCGGUAGCUGGCUGAGA
Molecule: ribosomal RNA, 246 nt
Filed under: uncultured bacterium
Lineage: Bacteria
Description: partial 16S ribosomal RNA
Rfam family: Bacterial small subunit ribosomal RNA
Source: RNAcentral